UACGUAGGGAGCAAGCGUUGUCCGGAAUUACUGGGCGUAAAGGGUGCGUAGGCGGCUUGGUAAGUCAGAUGUGAAAUACCCGUGCUUAACAUGGGGGGUGCAUCUGAUACUGUCAGGCUUGAGUGCAGGAGAGGAAAGCGGAAUUCCUAGUGUAGCGGUGAAAUGCAUAGAUAUUAGGAGGAACACCAGUGGCGAAGGCGGCUUUCUGGACUGUAACUGACGCUGAGGCACGAAAGCGUGGGGAGCAAACAGG
This 253-nucleotide ribosomal RNA is filed under the name uncultured bacterium. RNAcentral describes it as "partial 16S ribosomal RNA". It matches the Rfam family "Bacterial small subunit ribosomal RNA", at positions 524 to 776 of the family's 1533-position model. The record is from RNAcentral.